GAUGAACGCUGGCGGCGUGCCUAAUACAUGCAAGUCGAGCGAACGGACGAGAAGCUUGCUUUUCUGAUGUUAGCGGCGGACGGGUGAGUAACACGUGGAUAACCCACCUAUAAGACUGGGAUAACUUCGGGAAACCGGAGCUAAUACCGGAGAAUAUUUUGAACCGCAUGGUUCAAAAGUGAAAGACGGUCUUGCUGUCACUUAUAGAUGGAUCCGCGCUUCAUUAUCGAGUUGGUAAGGUAACGGCUUACCAAGGCAACGAUGCAUAACCGACCGGAGAGGGGGAACGGCCACUGUGGAGCUGAGCGACCGCACAGGCUCCGACGGGAGGCAGCAGUAGGGACGGUUCCGAGAAGUGCGAAAGCCUGAAGGAUGGGCGGAGCGUGAGUGAUGCAGGGCCGCGUGUCGUAAAACGCUGUUAUUGGGGAAGACCACAUGUGUAAGUAACGGUGCACAUCUGGAGGGUACCGAUACAGAAAGCCCCGGCUACCUCCGG
This 496-nucleotide ribosomal RNA is filed under the name uncultured bacterium. Its description in RNAcentral is "partial 16S ribosomal RNA". It matches the Rfam family "Bacterial small subunit ribosomal RNA", at positions 28 to 506 of the family's 1533-position model. The record is from RNAcentral.